Molecule: ribosomal RNA, 758 nt
Filed under: uncultured archaeon
Lineage: Archaea
Description: bacterial SSU rRNA
Rfam family: Archaeal small subunit ribosomal RNA
Source: RNAcentral
GGAUAACCUACCCUUAGGACCGGGAUAACCCUGGGAAACUGGGGAUAAUACUGGAUAGGCAAUUUUUCCUGUAAUGGUUUUUUGUUUAAAUGUUUUUUCGCCUAAGGAUGGGUCUGCGGCCGAUUAGGUAGUUGGUUAGGUAAUGGCUUACCAAGCCGUUGAUCGGUACGGGUUGUGAGAGCAAGAGCCCGGAGAUGGAACCUGAGACAAGGUUCCAGGCCCUACGGGGUGCAGCAGGCGCGAAACCUCCGCAAUGUGAGAAAUCGCGACGGGGGGAUCCCAAGUGCCAUUCUUAACGGGAUGGCUUUUCAUUAGUGUAAAGAGCUUUUGGAAUAAGGGCUGGGCAAGACCGGUGCCAGCCGCCGCGGUAACACCGGCAGCUCUAGUGGUAGCAGUUUUUAUUGGGCCUAAAGCGUCCGUAGCCGGUUUAAUAAGUCUCUGGUGAAAUCCUGUAGCUUAACUGUGGGAAUUGCUGGAGAUACUAUUAGACUUGAGACCGGGAGAGGUUAGAGGUACUCCCAGGGUAGAGGUGAAAUUCUGUAAUCCUGGGAGGACCGCCUGUUGCGAAGGCGUCUAACUGGAACGGUUCUGACGGUGAGGGACGAAAGUUAGGGGCGCGAACCGGAUUAGAUACCCGGGUAGUCCUAACUGUAAACGAUGCGGACUUGGUGUUGGGGUGGCUUUGAGCUGCUCCAGUGCCGAAAGGGAAGCUGUUAAGUCCGCCGCCUGGGAAGUACGGUCGCAAGACUGAAACUUAA